Alligator sinensis (Chinese alligator) is the source of this 1057-nucleotide long non-coding RNA. RefSeq lists it as uncharacterized. The record is from RefSeq and is a predicted model, not a curated record. NCBI's taxonomy places the organism in Eukaryota, Metazoa, Chordata, Crocodylia, Alligatoridae. The transcript has 6 exons.
CGGCCUGAAGCCAUGCUCACGUGAUCACCUGGAGCGAGGUAUUUGCUUCUUGCGGGUUGCAGCUCUGGAUGGAGAGAUCCUGCAGUUGGUAUGGGGUGGUUUGGAGCAGUGUGGGGCUAACUGCUAGACUCAGACAUUCGUGCUUUGCCCUUUGAUGUUUUUCAUGCUGAGGCUUUUCUUUUGCAUCCUCAGCAGGUGCCUGCAUUGUAUCUGGGAACGGGAUGGCAAGCAUGGGGAUUGACGGCGCACAAGGGCUGAAAGUGCAGCGUGAUGCCAGGUGUGAGGACCCACCUUGCCAAGGCUUCAGGCACUGAAGACGAGGUGAAGAGCCGCAGAGAUGGUGGAGGAGGAAAUGGGCAGCUGUCUCGUGACUUCCCAGUUUGUGUGGUGUGAGGCCUCUGCCCCUGUGACAUCACCUGUGUGGAGCCUGCAGUGGGUUUGAGCUUCCUUGGAGCGGUGUGAUGUCUUCGUCUUCCUGUCUGACCACUUGUUCCGCACUUGUUCUUCCAUGUUUCCAGGAGCUGUUGUGUGUGUAUCUUUGCAAGUCAUGCUGUGUGUACAGUGGUUACUGUGAUGCAUCACGUUUUGAGUGCCUGUGACUAUCCAGCUCCGGGAGGCCACAGACAAGCCUUUGAGAGCUCGGGUAAAGCCUGUAUGUAACUUGUGGGGGAAGAGGGAUGCAGGGAGUUCUGUGCCAUGCUGGUGGAAGAUGAAGGAAAACAAUUCUUAAAGGAGGUGCCUGUGUACCCUGUGCAGAGAGGAAGGCAAUCGGGGACGAGGCUGGGCUGGAGAAGGAGCAGAAUUGUGCCAGGUUGGGAUCCUGCCCCGCGUGGAGGGAAAUGAAGGCGGGUUCAGGGAGCGGAGCAGAGCCGAGCGGUGCCCACGGAGGCUGAGGCGGGAGGAAUCGAAUGUCGCGAGAUGUGUCGGCGCUGGAUGGGCAGAUCCCGUAGCUGGGGUCCUGGUGUACGUGGAAGGAAAGGGCGAGGGCAAAGGGACUGGAGCUGAGAAGUGCUAAGGGAGCCAGAGGAUCAGGAUGCUAGAAGGUGUUUUGUGUUUG